GAUGAAGAACGUAGCGAAAUGCGAUACGUAAUGUGAAUUGCAGAAUUCAGUGAAUCAUCGAGUCUUUGAACGCACAUUGCGCCCCCUGGUAUUCCGGGGGGCAUGCCUGUCCGAGCGUCAUUGCUGCCCUCAAGCACGGCUUGUGUGUUGGGCCUCCGUCCUCCUCCCGGGGGACGGGCCCGAAAGGCAGCGGCGGCACCGCGUCCGGUCCUCGAGCGUAUGGGGCUUCGUCACCCGCUCUUGUAGGCCAGGCCGGCGCUUGCCGACACAUCAAUCUUUUUUCCAGGUUGACCUCGGAUCAGGUAGGGAUACCCGCUGAACUUAAGCAUAUCAAUAAGCGGAGGA
RNAcentral lists this unclassified non-coding RNA (345 nucleotides) under soil metagenome. RNAcentral describes it as "partial contains 5.8S ribosomal RNA, internal transcribed spacer 2, and large subunit ribosomal RNA". The stretch from base 1 to 120 matches the Rfam family "5.8S ribosomal RNA", at positions 35 to 154 of the family's 154-position model. The record is from RNAcentral.